GUUCGCCGGACGGCCUUUUGACAUAAUUGACGGUUGUUUUUACUUAGCUAUUGGGUGUAGUUGUUGUUCAUUUAAUAAAGAUUUUUGAUAUUAUAAACGAAUUGUUCAUAUUUUAUGCCCGAAGUUAACACAAAUGGCAGUACAGCAGAUCAUUCAAUACAUGCUGAGACAUGAAUUCACAUUUCUACCACUAUGCUAAAUAUCAAUAUCCUACGUUGAAAAUGUACUAGACGAUACUGCUAAUAAUAAUGGUUUUGUGCAACGUGCGUGUAAUGGAUGGCAGUAUAGCAGAUCAUUCAAUACAUGCUGACACAUGAAUUCACAUUUCUACCACUACGCUAAAUAUCAACAUCCUACGUUGAAAAUGUACUAGACGACACUGCUAAUAAUAAUGGUUUUGUGCAACAUGGCAGUAUAGCAGAUCACUCGAGGCAUGCUGAGACUAUGAAUUAACAUUUCUAUCACUUGGGAAAGUUACAACAUCUUCCGUUGAAAAUGGAAUAGAAGUUGGCAGUAUAUCAGAUCAAUCAAGGCACGCUGAGACACGAAUUCACAUUUCUACCACCAAGGAAAGUAUCAACAUCCUAUGUUGAAAAUGGACUAGAAGAUACUGAUAAUAAU
Long non-coding RNA from Rhopalosiphum padi (bird cherry-oat aphid), 621 nucleotides. RefSeq lists it as uncharacterized. The transcript has 5 exons. Lineage: Eukaryota; Metazoa; Arthropoda; Insecta; Hemiptera; Aphididae. The record is from RefSeq and is a predicted model, not a curated record.